Molecule: ribosomal RNA, 465 nt
Filed under: uncultured Selenomonas sp.
Lineage: Bacteria; Bacillati; Bacillota; Negativicutes; Selenomonadales; Selenomonadaceae
Description: bacterial SSU rRNA
Rfam family: Bacterial small subunit ribosomal RNA
Source: RNAcentral
CCUACGGGGGGCAGCAGUGGGGAAUCUUCCGCAAUGGGCGCAAGCCUGACGGAGCAACGCCGCGUGAGUGAAGAAGGUCUUCGGAUCGUAAAGCUCUGUUGAAGGGGACGAACGUGCAUAACAUGAAUAAGGUUAUGUAAUGACGGUACCUUUUGAGGAAGCCACGGCUAACUACGUGCCAGCAGCCGCGGUAAUACGUAGGUGGCGAGCGUUGUCCGGAAUCAUUGGGCGUAAAGGGAGCGCAGGCGGUCAUGUAAGUCUUACUUAAAAGUUCGGGGCUCAACCCCGUGAUGGGUAAGAAACUAUAUGACUUGAGUACAGGAGAGGAAAGCGGAAUUCCCAGUGUAGCGGUGAAAUGCGUAGAUAUUGGGAGGAACACCAGUGGCGAAGGCGGCUUUCUGGACUGCAACUGACGCUGAGGCUCGAAAGCCAGGGGAGCGAACGGGAUUAGAUACCCGGGUAGUC